RNAcentral lists this ribosomal RNA (765 nucleotides) under uncultured Streptococcus sp. Its description in RNAcentral is "bacterial SSU rRNA". It matches the Rfam family "Bacterial small subunit ribosomal RNA", at positions 28 to 776 of the family's 1533-position model. Lineage: Bacteria; Bacillati; Bacillota; Bacilli; Lactobacillales; Streptococcaceae. The record is from RNAcentral.
GAUGAACGCUGGCGGCGUGCCUAAUACAUGCAAGUAGAACGCUGAAGCUUGGUGCUUGCACCGAGCGGAUGAGUUGCGAACGGGUGAGUAACGCGUAGGUAACCUGCCUCUUAGCGGGGGAUAACUAUUGGAAACGAUAGCUAAUACCGCAUAAAAGUCGAUAUCGCAUGAUAUUGAUUUGAAAGGUGCAAUUGCAUCACUAAGAGAUGGACCUGCGUUGUAUUAGCUAGUUGGUGAGGUAACGGCUCACCAAGGCGACGAUACAUAGCCGACCUGAGAGGGUGAUCGGCCACGCUGGGACUGAGACACGGCCCAGACUCCUACGGGAGGCAGCAGUAGGGAAUCUUCGGCAAUGGGGGCAACCCUGACCGAGCAACGCCGCGUGAGUGAAGAAGGUUUUCGGAUCGUAAAGCUCUGUUGUAAGAGAAGAACGAGUGUGAGAGUGGAAAGUUCACACUGUGACGGUAACUUACCAGAAAGGGACGGCUAACUACGUGCCAGCAGCCGCGGUAAUACGUAGGUCCCGAGCGUUAUCCGGAUUUAUUGGGCGUAAAGCGAGCGCAGGCGGUUAGAUAAGUCUGAAGUUAAAGGCUGUGGCUUAACCAUAGUACGCUUUGGAAACUGUUUAACUUGAGUGCAGAAGGGGAGAGUGGAAUUCCAUGUGUAGCGGUGAAAUGCGUAGAUAUAUGGAGGAACACUGGUGGCGAAAGCGGCUCUCUGGUCCGUAACUGACGCUGAGGCUCGAAAGCGUGGGGAGCAAACAGG